GAGAGGGGUCUGUUGGAAGGCCCGAGUCUCACAGGGAGACAUGACAUUUAUCACUCGACUAUUCUAUCGACAGUGAUAUGUCAUCAUCUUCCUUUGAGCGACGGCCUUCCCUCUCUCUCU
This 120-nucleotide microRNA precursor is filed under the name Pristionchus pacificus. Its description in RNAcentral is "microRNA ppc-mir-2234a precursor". Lineage: Eukaryota; Metazoa; Nematoda; Chromadorea; Rhabditida; Neodiplogasteridae. The record is from miRBase by way of RNAcentral.